GCUGAAACUCGCCUACAUGAAGCUGGAGUUACUAGUAAUCGCAGAUCAGAAUGCUGCGGUGAAUGCGUUCCCGGGUCUUGUACACACCGCCCGUCACACCACGGAAGUUGGGGGCGCCCGAAGCCACUUAGCUAACCCAUUUGGGAAGCGAGUGUCGAAGGUGAAAUCAAUAACUGGGGUGAAGUCGUAACAAGGUAAC
Molecule: ribosomal RNA, 199 nt
Filed under: uncultured bacterium
Lineage: Bacteria
Description: partial 16S ribosomal RNA
Rfam family: Bacterial small subunit ribosomal RNA
Source: RNAcentral